RNAcentral lists this ribosomal RNA (301 nucleotides) under uncultured bacterium. Its description in RNAcentral is "partial 16S ribosomal RNA". It matches the Rfam family "Bacterial small subunit ribosomal RNA", at positions 509 to 807 of the family's 1533-position model. The record is from RNAcentral.
CAGUAGCCGCGGUAAUACGUAGGGAGCAAGCGUUGUUCGGAUUUACUGGGCGUAAAGGGCGCGUAGGCGGCGCGGUAAGUCACUUGUGAAAUCUCUGAGCUUAACUCAGAACGGCCAAGUGAUACUGCUGUGCUAGAGUGCGGGAGAGGCAACCGGAAUUCUUGGUGUAGCGGUGAAAUGCGUAGAUAUCAAGAGGAACACCUGAGGCGAAGGCGGGUUGCUGGGCAUUAACUGACGCUGAGGAGCGAAAGCAUGGGGAGCGGACAGGAUUAGAUACCCGCGUAGUCCCUGUCUCUUAUAC